UCCGGUUGAUCCUGCCGGACCCGACUGCUAUUUGGGUGAGAAUAAGCCAUGCGAGUCGAAUGGGAUACCUAAAUUUCCCAUGGCAAACUGCUCAUUAACACAUGAUCAACUUACCCUAUAGAGAAAAAUAACCUCGGGAAACUGAGGAUAAUAUUUCGUAGUUGAAUAGGCUUGGAAAAGUUUUUCAAUAAAAGGGAUAAAAAAAAUGGUUUUUAUCUGCUAUAGGAUAGGAUCGUGGACGAUUAUGGUUGUUGGUGAGGUAACGGCUCACCAAGCCGAUAAUCGAUAGGGGCCGUGAGAGCGGGAGCCCCGAGAUGGGUACUGAGACAACGACCCAGGCCUUACGAGGCGCAGCAGGCGCGGAACCUCCGCAAUACACGAAAGUGUGACGGGGUUACCCAAAGUGUUCAAUUCUGAACUGUGGUAGGUGAGUAAUGUUCCCUACUAGAAAGGAGAGGGCAAGGCUGGUGCCAGCCGCCGCGGUAAAACCAGCUCUUCAAGUGGUCGGGAUAAUUAUUGGGCUUAAAGUGUCCGUAGCCGGUUUAGUAAGUUCCUGGUAAAAUCGGGUAGCUUAACUAUCCGUAUGCUAGGAAUACUGCUAUACUAGAGGGCGGGAGAGGUCUGAGGUACUACAGGGGUAGGGGUGAAAUCUUAUAAUCCUUGUAGGACCACCAGUGGCGAAGGCGUCAGACUGGAACGCGCCUGACGGUGAGGGACGAAAGCCAGGGGAGCAAACCGGAUUAGAUACCCCCGUAGUCC
This 759-nucleotide ribosomal RNA is filed under the name uncultured archaeon. RNAcentral's name for it is "bacterial SSU rRNA". It matches the Rfam family "Archaeal small subunit ribosomal RNA", at positions 1 to 747 of the family's 1478-position model. The record is from RNAcentral.